GAAGUGUGGCCGAGUGGUUUAAGGCUCUAGUCUUGAAAACUAGCGUGGGGGGAACCCCACCGUGGGUUCGAAUCCCACCGCUUCC
This 85-nucleotide transfer RNA is filed under the name uncultured Rhodobacter sp. It matches the Rfam family "tRNA". Rfam says of the family: Transfer RNA (tRNA) molecules are approximately 80 nucleotides in length. Their secondary structure includes four short double-helical elements and three loops (D, anti-codon, and T loops). Lineage: Bacteria; Pseudomonadati; Pseudomonadota; Alphaproteobacteria; Rhodobacterales. The record is from RNAcentral.